CUUUGGGGAGGGUCAGGUGUUCCACAUUGACUCCUAUGAAAUGACCGCAAUCUGGAAGGGCAAAUACAGAGGCCUGAGAAAAAUCAAUCCAGAAGAUUAUAAUAUGAUGAUUGGGGCCAUAUGUACAAAUGACCAUUGGACACUGGCAGUCAUUUGUCCAAGGGGGCGGAAAUCAAUUUAUGUAGAUCCACUUGGUGCAACAGAUGGUGCACUCAAGUCAUGUGGCAAUGUCAGCAGGUUGUAG
This 244-nucleotide long non-coding RNA is filed under the name Neogobius melanostomus (round goby). RNAcentral's name for it is "lncRNA (ENSNMLG00000007037.1)". Lineage: Eukaryota; Metazoa; Chordata; Actinopteri; Gobiiformes; Gobiidae. The record is from RNAcentral.